RNAcentral lists this ribosomal RNA (924 nucleotides) under uncultured Bacteroidota bacterium. Its description in RNAcentral is "bacterial SSU rRNA". It matches the Rfam family "Bacterial small subunit ribosomal RNA", at positions 1 to 916 of the family's 1533-position model. Lineage: Bacteria; Pseudomonadati; Bacteroidota. The record is from RNAcentral.
GGAUCCAGACUUUGAUCAUGGCUCAGGAUGAACGCUAGCUACAGGCUUAACACAUGCAAGUCGAGGGGAAACGAUAGAGAAAGCUUGCUUUUUCUAGGCGUCGACCGGCGCACGGGUGAGUAACGCGUAUCCAACCUGCCCAUCACUUGGGGAUAACCUUGCGAAAGUAAGACUAAUACCCAAUGACGUCUCUAGAAGACAUCUGAAAGAGAUUAAAGAUUUAUCGGUGAUGGAUGGGGAUGCGUCUGAUUAGCUUGUUGGCGGGGUAACGGCCCACCAAGGCGACGAUCAGUAGGGGUUCUGAGAGGAAGGUCCCCCACAUUGGAACUGAGACACGGUCCAAACUCCUACGGGAGGCAGCAGUGAGGAAUAUUGGUCAAUGGGCGAGAGCCUGAACCAGCCAAGUAGCGUGCAGGAUGACGGCCCUAUGGGUUGUAAACUGCUUUUAUAAGGGAAUAAAGUGGGAGUCGUGACUCCUUUUGCAUGUACCUUAUGAAUAAGGACCGGCUAAUUCCGUGCCAGCAGCCGCGGUAAUACGGAAGGUCCGGGCGUUAUCCGGAUUUAUUGGGUUUAAAGGGAGCGUAGGCCGGAGAUUAAGCGGGUUGUGAAAUGUAGACGCUCAACGUCUGCACUGCAGCGCGAACUGGUUUCCUUGAGUACGCACAAAGUGGGCGGAAUUCGUGGUGUAGCGGUGAAAUGCUUAGAUAUCACGAAGAACUCCGAUUGCGAAGGCAGCUCACUGGAGCGCAACUGACGCUGAAGCUCGAAAGUGCGGGUAUCGAACAGGAUUAGAUACCCUGGUAGUCCGCACGGUAAACGAUGGAUGCCCGCUGUUGGUCUGAAUAGGUCAGCGGCCAAGCGAAAGCAUUAAGCAUCCCACCUGGGGAGUACGCCGGCAACGGUGCAACUCAAAGGAAUUGACGG